RNAcentral lists this ribosomal RNA (253 nucleotides) under uncultured bacterium. Its description in RNAcentral is "partial 16S ribosomal RNA". It matches the Rfam family "Bacterial small subunit ribosomal RNA", at positions 524 to 776 of the family's 1533-position model. The record is from RNAcentral.
UACAGAGGGUGCGAGCGUUAAUCGGAAUUACUGGGCGUAAAGCGUGCGUAGACGGUUUCGUAAGUCGGGUGUGGAAUCCCCGGGCUCAACCUGGGAAUUGCAUUCGAAACUGCGAGGCUAGGGUACGGAAGAGGGAAGCGGAAUUUCUGGUGUAGCGGUGAAAUGCGUAGAUAUCAGAAGGAACAUCAGUGGCGAAAGCGGCUUCCUGGUCCAGUACCGACGUUCAGGCACGAAAGCGUGGGGAGCAAACAGG